GGGUUUGAUUAUGGCUCAGGAUGAACGCUGGCGGCGUGCUCAACACAUGCAAGUCGAACGAACCUUCGGGUUAGUGGCGGACGGGUGAGUAACGCGUGAGAAUCUGCCCUCAGGAGGGGGAUAACAGCUGGAAACGGCUGCUAAUACCCCAUAUGCCGCGAGGUGAAAUGAAUUUCGCCUGAGGAUGAGCUCGCGUCUGAUUAGCUAGUUGGUGUGGGUAAUGGCUCACCAAGGCAUCGAUCAGUAGCUGGUCUGAGAGGAUGAUCAGCCACACUGGGACUGAGACACGGCCCAGACUCCUACGGGAGGCAGCAGUGGGGAAUUUUCCGCAAUGGGCGAAAGCCUGACGGAGCAACGCCGCGUGAGGGAUGAAGGCCUCUGGGCUGUAAACCUCUUUUAUCAAGGAAGAAGAUCUGACGGUACUUGAUGAAUAAGCCACGGCUAAUUCCGUGC
RNAcentral lists this ribosomal RNA (453 nucleotides) under uncultured bacterium. Its description in RNAcentral is "bacterial SSU rRNA". It matches the Rfam family "Bacterial small subunit ribosomal RNA", at positions 9 to 508 of the family's 1533-position model. The record is from RNAcentral.